This 274-nucleotide ribosomal RNA is filed under the name uncultured bacterium. RNAcentral's name for it is "partial 16S ribosomal RNA". It matches the Rfam family "Bacterial small subunit ribosomal RNA", at positions 523 to 796 of the family's 1533-position model. The record is from RNAcentral.
AUACGAAGGGCCCGAGCGUUAUUCGGAAUCACUGGGCUUAAAGCGUACGUAGGCGGACUCGCAGGCACCUUGUGAAAUCCCUCGGCUCAACCGAGGAACUGCUUGGUGAACCGCGCGUCUUGAGACAAGUAGGGGCUGUCGGAACGAUAGGUGGAGCGGUGAAAUGCGUUGAUAUCUAUCGGAACGCCGAAGGCGAAGGCAGACAGCUGGGCUUUUUCUGACGCUGAGGUACGAAAGCGUGGGGAGCGAACGGGAUUAGAAACCCCAGUAGUCC